RNAcentral lists this small nuclear RNA (97 nucleotides) under Suricata suricatta (meerkat). Its description in RNAcentral is "U2 spliceosomal RNA (ENSSSUG00005004369.1)". It matches the Rfam family "U2 spliceosomal RNA". From Rfam's summary of the family: U2 is a small nuclear RNA (snRNA) component of the spliceosome (involved in pre-mRNA splicing). Complementary binding between U2 snRNA (in an area lying towards the 5' end but 3' to hairpin I) and the branchpoint sequence (BPS) of the intron results the bulging out of an unpaired adenosine, on the BPS, which initiates a nucleophilic attack at the intronic 5' splice site, thus starting the first of two transesterification reactions that mediate splicing. Lineage: Eukaryota; Metazoa; Chordata; Mammalia; Carnivora; Herpestidae. The record is from RNAcentral.
AUCGCUUCUCGGCCUUUUGGCUAAGAUCAAGCGUAGUAUCUGUCCUGGUCAGCUUAAAGUUACAAAGUGGGAUUGUGUGGAGGUACGAAAACUUUAU